GUGAAUCAUCAAAUUUUUGAACGCAAACUGCACUUUCUGGUAUUCCGGAAAGUAUGCCUGGCUGGGGUGCAGUUAAAUAAAAAUCGGGGUUGUUGCUGCUUUGCGUGGUGACGCGACGGAAUUGAGUUGUCUUACGUUUGGGUAAGUGACUUAAAAUUUUUCAUGAUUUUCGAACAUAUUUAAAUUUCUUACGUACGUUUGAGAUAUCGAAUACUUUAUUAGGUUCGGUCAUCCUCGUGUUUCGCACCUAUAAUUUUUGGUUAAAUGACCUCA
This 273-nucleotide unclassified non-coding RNA is filed under the name Glomus sp. Its description in RNAcentral is "partial internal transcribed spacer 2". The stretch from base 1 to 71 matches the Rfam family "5.8S ribosomal RNA", at positions 84 to 154 of the family's 154-position model. The record is from RNAcentral. Lineage: Eukaryota; Fungi; Glomeromycota; Glomeromycetes; Glomerales; Glomeraceae.